This 777-nucleotide ribosomal RNA is filed under the name uncultured Neocallimastigales. RNAcentral's name for it is "partial large subunit ribosomal RNA". It matches the Rfam family "Eukaryotic large subunit ribosomal RNA", at positions 24 to 642 of the family's 3401-position model. Lineage: Eukaryota; Fungi; Neocallimastigomycota; Neocallimastigomycetes; Neocallimastigales. The record is from RNAcentral.
UAAUCUCUGUAGAGUCUGCAUAUCAAUAAGCGGAGGAAAAGAAACUAACAAGGAUUCCCCUAGUAACGGCGAGUGAAGCGGGAAGAGCUCAAAUUUGAAAUCUUCAAGGUUCUGACCUUGACGAAUUGUAGUUUAAAGAAGUGUUUUCGGUUAGAGGAGUAGUAAAAGUUCUUUGGAAUAGGACAUCAUAGAGGGUGAGAAUCCCGUAUUUGACUAUUCUUUCUAGCUUUGUGAUACACUUUCAAAGAGUCGGAUUGUUUGGGAAUGCAGUCCAAAAUGGGUGGUAAAUUUCAUCUAAAGCUAAAUAUUGGCGAGAGACCGAUAGCGAACAAGUACCGUGAGGGAAAGAUGAAAAGAACUUUGAAAAGAGAGUUAAACAGUACGUGAAAUUGUCAAAAGGGAAGCGUUUGACACCAGUGUUGUUUUUUCCGAAAAUCAAUUAAAAAUUGAUUCAUGCCAGGUUGUAUUGACCUUAUCAGCUUGCAAUUUGGUUUUGGGUCUCUUUUUGAUGCACUUUUCGGUUAACAAGUCAACAUCAAUUUCCUUUGCUGUAAAAAGGUAAGAGGAAGGUGGCUUCAAUUUCGGUUGAAGUGUUUAUAGCCUUUUAUCUCUGCAGUCGGGGAGAUUGAGGUCUGCAGCGUAGAUCCUUCGGGGCUAGAUACAUUUAUGCUAAGUUAUAGCUUUUCAUAGACAACUUGUUGACUAUGUUUAGUCAUGUAGCUUACUCGUAAGUGCUAUUUUACCUACGCUUAGGAUGUUGAGCGCAUGUCUCUCUCU